AACGAACGCUGGCGGCGUGCUUAACACAUGCAAGUCGAGCGCGAACGCCACCUUCGGGUGGCUAGUAGAGCGGCGCACGGGUGAGUAACACGUAGGUAAUCUACCUUCGGGUCUGGAAUAACCCAGGGAAACCUGGGCUAAUACCGGAUAAGACCACGGAUCUUACAGUUCUGUGGGAAAAGCGGGGGAUCCCUUCGGGGGCCUUGUGCCUGUAGAUGAGCCUGCGGCCCAUCAGCUUGUUGGCGGGGUAAUGGCCCACCAAGGCUAAGACGGGUAGCUGGUCUGAGAGGAUGAUCAGCCACACUGGAACUGAGACACGGUCCAGACUCCUACGGGU
This 337-nucleotide ribosomal RNA is filed under the name uncultured Pseudomonadota bacterium. RNAcentral describes it as "bacterial SSU rRNA". It matches the Rfam family "Bacterial small subunit ribosomal RNA", at positions 29 to 346 of the family's 1533-position model. The record is from RNAcentral. Lineage: Bacteria; Pseudomonadati; Pseudomonadota.